GACGGGGACCCGCACAAGCGGUGGAUGAUGUGGAUUAAUUCGAUGCAACGCGAAAACCUUACCUACCCUUGACAUGUCCGGAAUCCCGAAGAGAUUUGGGAGUGCUCGCAAGAGAGCCGGAACACAGGUGCUGCAUGGCUGUCGUCAGCUCGUGUCGUGAGAUGUUGGGUUAAGUCCCGCAACGAGCGCAACCCUUGUCAUUAGUUGCCAUCAUUUGGUUGGGCACUCUAAUGAGACUGCCGGUGACAAACCGGAGGAAGGUGGGGAUGACGUCAAGUCCUCAUGGCCCUUAUGGGUAGGGCUUCACACGUCAUACAAUGGUCGGUACAGAGGGUUGCCAACCCGCGAGGGGGAGCUAAUCCCACAAAGCCGAUCGUAGUCCGGAUCGCAGUCUGCAACUCGACUGCGUGAAGUCGGAAUCGCUAGUAAUCGUGGAUCAGCAUGUCACGGUGAAUACGUUCCCGGGUCUU
Molecule: ribosomal RNA, 470 nt
Filed under: uncultured Rhodocyclaceae bacterium
Lineage: Bacteria; Pseudomonadati; Pseudomonadota; Betaproteobacteria; Rhodocyclales; Rhodocyclaceae
Description: bacterial SSU rRNA
Rfam family: Bacterial small subunit ribosomal RNA
Source: RNAcentral